This 482-nucleotide unclassified non-coding RNA is filed under the name Bartonella sp. 'elk-1'. RNAcentral describes it as "contains 16S-23S intergenic spacer region". The stretch from base 133 to 206 matches the Rfam family "tRNA". Lineage: Bacteria; Pseudomonadati; Pseudomonadota; Alphaproteobacteria; Hyphomicrobiales; Bartonellaceae. The record is from RNAcentral.
CUUCGUUUCUCUUUCUUCAGAUGAUGAUCCCAAAGCCUUCUGGCGAUCUGUUUAUACAAGCCUCUAAGGGGGAUGGAAGAUAUUAUUUCUUUGAUCAGAUUAUGCGAUUGAAGGUUUUCAGUUUUCCUCGUAGGGCUUGUAGCUCAGUCGGUUAGAGCGCGCGCUUGAUAAGCGUGAGGUCGGAGGUUCAAGUCCUCCCAGGCCCACCAGUUUCGCUAUGCUGCACUUUGCUUUGAUAAUCUGAAAAGGCUCUCAGUGAGACUGAUCGCAAUCCCUUUUUGGAUAAUUCCUUAAAAGAAUUUAUUGCCUCAAUCAAUUUUUCUAAAAAUAUUUAGACCCUCCAUAGAAACUUAAAGCUUUCUAUAGCAAUGAACUCUUUGUAAGAAAUUUGGACUCUUCGUGAGAAAUUAUUGUCUCUUCUUUUCAAUAAGGGACAAAAUAGGAAAAAAAGCAGGCCAAUAUUGUGUCUCUGUUUGUUUUAA